CAACGAAUCUUCCGCAAUGGGCGCAAGCCUGACGGAGCGACGCCGCGUGUGGGUUAAGUUCUUCGGAAUGUAAACCACUGUUAGGGUUAUGAAAGCGAUGGAGGAUAAUAUACUCCAAAGUUGAUCUAGCCCAGAGAAAGGGACGGCUAACUCUGUGCCAGCAGCCGCGGUAAUACAGAGGUCCCAAGCGUUACUGAGAUUCACUGGGUUUAAAGGGUGCGUAGGUGGUGCGUUAAGUCAGUUGUGAAAUCCCCGGGCUCAACCCGGGAAUAGCUUCUGAUACUGGCGUGCUUGAGGCCGGUAUAGGUUACUGGAACGGACGGUGGAGCGGUGAAAUGCGUAGAUAUCGUCUGGAACGCCAGUGGUGAAGACGGGUAACUAGGCCGGUUCUGACACUGAGGCACGAAAGCGUGGGGAGCGAACGGG
Molecule: ribosomal RNA, 426 nt
Filed under: uncultured Phycisphaerae bacterium
Lineage: Bacteria; Pseudomonadati; Planctomycetota; Phycisphaerae
Description: bacterial SSU rRNA
Rfam family: Bacterial small subunit ribosomal RNA
Source: RNAcentral